UACGGGGGGGGCAAGCGUUGUUCGGAAUCACUGGGCGUAAAGGGCGCGUAGGCGGCUUUAUAAGUCGGGGGUGAAAGCCUGUGGCUCAACCACAGAAUUGCCUUCGAUACUGUAUGGCUUGAGACCGGAAGAGGUAAGUGGAACUGCGAGUGUAGAGGUGAAAUUCGUAGAUAUUCGCAAGAACACCAGUGGCGAAGGCGGCUUACUGGUCCGGUUCUGACGCUGAGGCGCGAAAGCGUGGGGAGCAAACAGG
Molecule: ribosomal RNA, 253 nt
Filed under: uncultured bacterium
Lineage: Bacteria
Description: partial 16S ribosomal RNA
Rfam family: Bacterial small subunit ribosomal RNA
Source: RNAcentral